RNAcentral lists this ribosomal RNA (500 nucleotides) under uncultured bacterium. Its description in RNAcentral is "partial 16S ribosomal RNA". It matches the Rfam family "Bacterial small subunit ribosomal RNA", at positions 30 to 523 of the family's 1533-position model. The record is from RNAcentral.
AUUGAACGCUGGCGGAAUGCUUUACACAUGCAAGUCGAACGGCAGCACGGGGGCAACCCUGGUGGCGAGUGGCGAACGGGUGAGUAAUACAUCGGAACGUGCCCAGUCGUGGGGGAUAACGUAGCGAAAGUUACGCUAAUACCGCAUACGAUCUACGGAUGAAAGCGGGGGACCGUAAGGCCUCGCGCGCUUGGAGCGGCCGAGGUCAGAUUAGGUAGUUGGUGAGGUAAAGGCUCACCAAGCCGACGAUCUGUAGCUGGUCUGAGAGGACGACCAGCCACACUGGGACUGAGACACGGCCCAGACUCCUACGGGAGGCAGCAGUGGGGAAUUUUGGACAAUGGGCGCAAGCCUGAUCCAGCCAUUCCGCGUGCAGGACGAAGGCCUUCGGGUUGUAAACUGCUUUUGUACGGAACGAAAAGGCUCUGGUUAAUACCUGGGGCUCAUGACGGUACCGUAAGAAUAAGCACCGGCUAACUACGUGCCAGCCGCCGCGGUAA